This 253-nucleotide ribosomal RNA is filed under the name uncultured bacterium. RNAcentral describes it as "partial 16S ribosomal RNA". It matches the Rfam family "Bacterial small subunit ribosomal RNA", at positions 524 to 776 of the family's 1533-position model. The record is from RNAcentral.
UACGUAGGGUGCAAGCGUUAAUCGGAAUUACUGGGCGUAAAGCGUGCGCAGGCGGUUUUGUAAGUCUGACGUGAAAUCCCCGGGCUCAACCUGGGAAUUUCGUUGGAGACUGCAAGGCUAGAAUCUGGCAGAGGGGGGUAGAAUUCCACGUGUAGCAGUGAAAUGCGUAGAGAUGUGGAGGAACACCGAUGGCGAAGGCAGCCCCCUGGGUCAAGAUUGACGCUCAUGCACGAAAGCGUGGGGAGCAAACCGG